This 406-nucleotide ribosomal RNA is filed under the name uncultured bacterium. Its description in RNAcentral is "partial 16S ribosomal RNA". It matches the Rfam family "Bacterial small subunit ribosomal RNA", at positions 30 to 526 of the family's 1533-position model. The record is from RNAcentral.
AUUGAACGCUGGCGGCAGGCCUAACACAUGCAAGUCGAACGAGUGGCGGACGGGUGAGUAAUGUCUGGGAAACUGCCUGAUGGAGGGGGAUAACUACUGGAAACGGUAGCUAAUACCGCAUACCAUCGGAUGUGCCCAGAUGGGAUUAGCUAGUAGGUGGGGGAAAGGCUCACCUAGGCGACGAUCCCUAGCUGGUCUGAGAGGAUGACGAGCCACACUGGACCUGAGAAACGGUCCAGACUCCGACGGGAGGCAGCAGGGGGGAAUUUUGCACAAUGGGCGAAAGCCUGAUGCAGCCAUGCCGCGGGUAUGAAGAAGGCCUUCGGGUUGUAAAGUACUUUCAGCGGGGAGGCGUUACUCGCACAAGAAGCACCGGCUAACUCCGUGCCAGCAGCCGCGGUAAUUC